Molecule: transfer RNA, 78 nt
Filed under: Hyphomicrobiales bacterium
Lineage: Bacteria; Pseudomonadati; Pseudomonadota; Alphaproteobacteria; Hyphomicrobiales
Also listed under: 2 other names
Description: tRNA-Arg
Rfam family: tRNA
About the family: Transfer RNA (tRNA) molecules are approximately 80 nucleotides in length. Their secondary structure includes four short double-helical elements and three loops (D, anti-codon, and T loops).
Source: RNAcentral
GACCUCGUAGCUCAGUUGGACUAGAGCAAGUGCCUUCUAAGCACUAGGUCGCUGGUUCGAAUCCAGCCGAGGUCGCCA